AUUGAACGCUGGCGGCAGGCCUAACACAUGCAAGUCGAGCGGAUGAAGGGAGCUUGCUCCUGGAUUCAGCGGCGGACGGGUGAGUAAUGCCUAGGAAUCUGCCUGGUAGUGGGGGAUAACGUCCGGAAACGGGCGCUAAUACCGCAUACGUCCUGAGGGAGAAAGUGGGGGAUCUUCGGACCUCACGCUAUCAGAUGAGCCUAGGUCGGAUUAGCUAGUUGGUGGGGUAAAGGCCUACCAAGGCGACGAUCCGUAACUGGUCUGAGAGGAUGAUCAGUCACACUGGGACUGAGACACGGUCCAGACUCCUACGGGAGGCAGCAGUGGGGAAUAUUGGACCAUGGGCGAAAGCCUGAUCCAGCCAUGCCGCGUGUGUGAAGAAGGUCUUCGGAUUGUAAAGCACUUUAAGUUGGGAGGAAGGGCAGUAAGUUAAUACCUUGCUGUUUUGACGUUACCAACAGAAUAAGCACCGGCUAACUUCGUG
This 484-nucleotide ribosomal RNA is filed under the name uncultured bacterium. Its description in RNAcentral is "partial 16S ribosomal RNA". It matches the Rfam family "Bacterial small subunit ribosomal RNA", at positions 30 to 507 of the family's 1533-position model. The record is from RNAcentral.